GCCCGGGUGGCUCAGUUGGUUAAGCCUCUGAUUUCGGCUCAGGUCGUGAUCUCAUGGUCUGUGGGUUCGAGCCCCACGUCAGGCU
Molecule: transfer RNA, 85 nt
Filed under: Felis catus (domestic cat)
Lineage: Eukaryota; Metazoa; Chordata; Mammalia; Carnivora; Felidae
Rfam family: tRNA
About the family: Transfer RNA (tRNA) molecules are approximately 80 nucleotides in length.
Source: Rfam by way of RNAcentral